UACAGAGGGUGCAAGCGUUAUUCGGAAUUACUGGGCGUAAAGGGCGCGUAGGCGGUUUGGUAAGUCUGGUGUGAAAUCCCUGAACUCAAUUCAGGAAGUGCAUUGGAUACUGCUAGACUAGAGUAUUGGAGGGGUGAGCGGAAUUCCUGGUGUAGAGGUGAAAUUCGUAGAUAUCAGGAGGAACAACGGAGGCGAAGGCGGCUCACUGGACAAUUACUGACGCUGAAGCGCGAAAGCGUGGGGAGCAAACAGG
RNAcentral lists this ribosomal RNA (253 nucleotides) under uncultured bacterium. Its description in RNAcentral is "partial 16S ribosomal RNA". It matches the Rfam family "Bacterial small subunit ribosomal RNA", at positions 524 to 776 of the family's 1533-position model. The record is from RNAcentral.